This 2927-nucleotide ribosomal RNA is filed under the name Acinetobacter baumannii. RNAcentral's name for it is "23S ribosomal RNA". It matches the Rfam family "Bacterial large subunit ribosomal RNA". The record is from RNAcentral. Lineage: Bacteria; Pseudomonadati; Pseudomonadota; Gammaproteobacteria; Moraxellales; Moraxellaceae.
GUUGUAUAGUCAAGUAAUUAAGUGCAUGUGGUGGAUGCCUUGGCAGUCAGAGGCGAUGAAAGACGUGAUAGCCUGCGAAAAGCUCCGGGGAGGCGGCAAAUAUCCUUUGAUCCGGAGAUGUCUGAAUGGGGGAACCCACCUACUUUAAGGUAGGUAUUGCAACAUGAAUACAUAGUGUUGCAAGGCGAACGAGGGGAAGUGAAACAUCUCAGUACCCUUAGGAAAAGAAAUCAAUUGAGAUUCCCUCAGUAGCGGCGAGCGAACGGGGAUCAGCCCAUUAAGUUAUGUGUGUUUUAGUGGAACGCUCUGGGAAGUGCGAACGUAGAGGGUGAUAUUCCCGUACACGAAAGGGCACACAUAAUGAUGACGAGUAGGGCGAGGCACGUGAAACCUUGUCUGAAUAUGGGGGGACCAUCCUCCAAGGCUAAAUACUCCUGACUGACCGAUAGUGAACCAGUACCGUGAGGGAAAGGCGAAAAGAACCCCUGUGAGGGGAGUGAAAUAGAUCCUGAAACCGCAUGCAUACAAGCAGUGGGAGCACCUUCGUGGUGUGACUGCGUACCUUUUGUAUAAUGGGUCAGCGACUUAUAUUCAGUAGCAAGGUUAACCGUAUAGGGGAGCCGUAGAGAAAUCGAGUCUUAAUAGGGCGUUUAGUUGCUGGGUAUAGACCCGAAACCAGGCGAUCUAUCCAUGAGCAGGUUGAAGGUUGGGUAACACUAACUGGAGGACCGAACCCACUGUCGUUGAAAAGCCAGGGGAUGACUUGUGGAUAGGGGUGAAAGGCUAAUCAAGCCUGGUGAUAGCUGGUUCUCCCCGAAAGCUAUUUAGGUAGCGCCUCGGACGAAUACCAUAGGGGGUAGAGCACUGUUUCGGCUAGGGGGUCAUCCCGACUUACCAAACCGAUGCAAACUCCGAAUACCUAUGAGUACUAUCCGGGAGACAGACUGCGGGUGCUAACGUCCGUAGUCAAGAGGAAAACAAUCCAGACCGCCAGCUAAGGCCCCAAAAUCAUAGUUAAGUGGGAAACGAUGUGGGAAGGCAUAGACAGCUAGGAGGUUGGCUUANGAAGCAGCCACCCUUUAAAGAAAGCGUAAUAGCUCACUAGUCGAGUCGGCCUGCGCGGAAGAUGUAACGGGGCUAAAACUAUGUGCCGAAGCUGCGGAUGUAUACUUUGUAUACGUGGUAGGGGAGCGUUCUGUAAGCCGAUGAAGGUGUGUUGAGAAGCNNNNNNNNAUGCUGGAGGUAUCAGAAGUGCGAAUGCUGACGUGAGUAACGACAAAACGGGUGAAAAACCCGUUCGCCGAAAGACCAAGGGUUCCAGUCCAACGUUAAUCGGGGCUGGGUGAGUCGACCCCUAAGGCGAGGCCGAAAGGCGUAGUCGAUGGGAAAAUGGUUAAUAUUCCAUUACUUCUGUGUAAUGCGAUGAGAGGACGGAGAAGGCUAAAUCAGCCUGGCGUUGGUUGUCCAGGUGAAAGGAUGUAGGCAUGUAUCUUAGGCAAAUCCGGGGUACUCUAUGCUGAGAUCUGAUAGCAAGCUGUACUUGUACAGCGAAGUGGUUGAUGCCAUGCUUCCAGGAAAAGUCUCUAAGCUUCAGUUACACAGGAAUCGUACCCGAAACCGACACAGGUGGUCAGGUCGAGUAGACCAAGGCGCUUGAGAGAACUCUGCUGAAGGAACUAGGCAAAAUGGUACCGUAACUUCGGGAGAAGGUACGCUGUUGUUGGUGAUGGAACUCGCUUCCUGAGCUGACGACAGCCGCAGAAACCAGGCCGCUGCAACUGUUUAUUAAAAACAUAGCACUCUGCAAACACGAAAGUGGACGUAUAGGGUGUGAUGCCUGCCCGGUGCUGGAAGGUUAAUUGAUGGGGUUAGCGUAAGCGAAGCUCUUGAUCGAAGCCCCAGUAAACGGCGGCCGUAACUAUAACGGUCCUAAGGUAGCGAAAUUCCUUGUCGGGUAAGUUCCGACCUGCACGAAUGGCAUAAUGAUGGCGGCGCUGUCUCCAGCAGAGGCUCAGUGAAAUCGAAAUCGCUGUGAAGAUGCAGUGUACCCGCGGCUAGACGGAAAGACCCCGUGAACCUUUACUGCAGCUUGACACUGAACUUUGACCUUACUUGUGUAGGAUAGGUGGGAGGCUUUGAAGCUGGAACGCUAGUUCCAGUGGAGCCGUCCUUGAAAUACCACCCUGGUAAUGUUGAGGUUCUAACUCUGUCCCGUGAUCCGGGACGAGGACCGUGUCUGGUGGGUAGUUUGACUGGGGCGGUCUCCUCCUAAAGAGUAACGGAGGAGUACGAAGGUGCGCUCAGCGUGGUCGGAAAUCACGCGUAGAGUAUAAAGGCAAAAGCGCGCUUAACUGCGAGACCCACAAGUCGAGCAGGUACGAAAGUAGGUCUUAGUGAUCCGGUGGUUCUGUAUGGAAGGGCCAUCGCUCAACGGAUAAAAGGUACUCUGGGGAUAACAGGCUGAUACCGCCCAAGAGUUCAUAUCGACGGCGGUGUUUGGCACCUCGAUGUCGGCUCAUCUCAUCCUGGGGCUGAAGCAGGUCCCAAGGGUAUGGCUGUUCGCCAUUUAAAGAGGUACGCGAGCUGGGUUUAGAACGUCGUGAGACAGUUCGGUCCCUAUCUACCGUGGGCGCUGGAAAUUUGAGAGGAUCUGCUCCUAGUACGAGAGGACCAGAGUGGACGAACCUCUGGUGUACCGGUUGUGACGCCAGUCGCAUCGCCGGGUAGCUAUGUUCGGAAGGGAUAACCGCUGAAAGCAUCUAAGCGGGAAGCCUACCUCAAGAUAAGAUUUCCCUAGGACUUUAUGUCCUCUAAAGAGCCGUUCGAGACUAGGACGUUGAUAGGUUGGAUGUGGAAGCAUAGUGAUAUGUGAAGCUGACCAAUACUAAUUGCUCGUGAGGCUUGACUAUACAACACCCAAGCAGUUG